RNAcentral lists this long non-coding RNA (1357 nucleotides) under Bos taurus (domestic cattle). RNAcentral's name for it is "long non-coding RNA NONBTAT008208". Lineage: Eukaryota; Metazoa; Chordata; Mammalia; Artiodactyla; Bovidae. The record is from RNAcentral.
GAUAAGUACAUUUAUAUUGAUUCAGUAUUAAAAUACAAUCUCUUAAGUUAAAAUUAUCUUUAUUUUAAAAACAGCUAUAAAUGUCAACUUGUUGGCGAAACUAGAACACUAGCAACGUUUGUCUUUUCUCCCCCCAAAUAUAUAUCCCGUAUAUGAUCUGAGGUUUUCAAUUUUUACUAAGCAAUCUACUGCGUUUCCAACCCAACUUCAUGUUAUGAUUUUUGACAUUUCCUGGAGGAAGAUGUUUAUAAAAUCAGUAGUCAUAUGCUGAAGCUGGGGUUUGAAUUUAGUCUUUGGUUUUUUAGGGGCUGCUACUUUAAAAAAAAAAAAAGCUAUCAAAUUUUAAGAAAAAGUAUUGAUUUCUUAUUGAUAUUUUUAUAAAAGUGUAAGUAGUUCCUAUACUGAAAAUCCAGAACCUAAAAAUUAAAUCUUUGCUUUAACUUGAUCUUUUGGAUUCUCUUCAUAUACUAAAAAGCAGUGAUUGUCUAGUAGAGCCCUGAGCCAAAAAGUCGUGGAAUUUUCUCUAUAGAUAUUUAACAUAGAGUAUAUAGAUGACUCUCAGUUAAUAAUGUGCAAAAUAUCUUGAAUAUCUCUUACCUUAACAGUUAUGUAUCAAUAAGCUUGAAAUGAACCAUUGUUUUCUAUUUUAGCCCUUUGUAACCUCAUAGAAACAAGCUUCAUGUAUUUUCUAUGUACUAUGUCCUUAGAAGGGAGUCCCCUUCCACUCAUGAAACUUGAUUCAUUUUAUCCAUUUCCCUAAGGACUGUGUAGACUUUAUUCAUAUAUUCUGUCAUUUUAAAAUGUAUUCUUAAUUAUAACUCUAUAAUUCCUUUGAUUCUUGUAAAUUAAGCUGUAUCUGCGAAAACUACAUAGGUCAAUUAAGCAUGGAUUCUCCUGGUUUUAUCCAAGGAGAAAAGUAAAUAAAAGGCCACAGAAAUGCUGUUUUUGAAACAAAGUAUGGCGUAGCAUUAACUGAAUGUUUAAGAACUCUAGUUAUAUUUGAUGUUUGAUUUUUGAGUGUUCAACUAUGGGAACGUGUUAUUUAUGACCAAUACCUGCCAAUAACACUGUCUCUCUUGAUUUGAAAGCCUGUGACCCAUGAAGAAGAGAACUAAAGUAGAUGAUUUUCUUCUUUGUGUCUCUGCUCAUCUCCUGACAGCUCUACUGAGUGAAAUUGGGGAUAAGUAUGGCUGUCAGAAACUGCCGAGGGUCUAAUGGGUAUAACAUUCCCACUUGGAAAACUAGUACUUCAAAUAGGUGCUGAAGGUCAGUGAGCUAAGGUAAUAAGCUAAUUAUUAUCCCUACUUGUGUCCCUGUCAGACUUUGAGCUGCUUCUGAAUAAAAAGCCUUUUACCUG